Molecule: ribosomal RNA, 439 nt
Filed under: uncultured bacterium
Lineage: Bacteria
Description: partial 16S ribosomal RNA
Rfam family: Bacterial small subunit ribosomal RNA
Source: RNAcentral
CUACGGGCUGCAGCAGUGGGGAAUAUUGGACAAUGGGCGCAAGCCUGAUCCAGCAAUGCCGCGUGAGUGAAGACGGCCUUAGGGUUGUAAAACUCUUUCGCUAGGGAAGAUAAUGACUGUACCUAGUAAAGAAGUCCCGGCUAACUCCGUGCCAGCAGCCGCGGUAAUACGGAGGGGACUAGCGUUGUUCGGAAUUACUGGGCGUAAAGAGUUCGUAGGCGGACUGACAAGUUAGAGGUGAAAUCCCAGGGCUCAACCCUGGAACUGCCUUUAAAACUGUCAGUCUAGAGACCGGAAGAGGUUAGGGGAAUACCUAGUGUAGAGGUGAUAUUCGUAGAUAUUAGGUGGAACACCAGUGGCGAAGGCGCCUAACUGGUCCGGUACUGACGCUAAGGCGUGAAAGCGUGGGGAGCAAACAGGAUUAGAUACCCUCGUAGUC